Molecule: non-coding RNA, 562 nt
Organism: Drosophila virilis
Lineage: Eukaryota; Metazoa; Arthropoda; Insecta; Diptera; Drosophilidae
Source: RefSeq, a predicted model, not a curated record
UUCAGCUGGCAGCUUAUUUUUGACAUAACAGCGUCAAAAUAUUUUCCUUUUGAGUUUGCAGUGCCACUUCGAGUAGAGCAUUAACAUUUGCUUGCUAGAUUAAAGUUAAAUUUUGCACCUUUCCUUUAAUGAAUCGGAAACGCAAAUGCAGUUCCGAGCAAAAUACGUCACAAGUGUUGUUCAUAUAAAUUAAACAGUUUUGACAAAAUUUAUGUUUCCGACUUUUUUUUUUGCUAUCAAAAAAAAAAAGCGUCGUACAACACACACUGCAGAUGAAGAGAACGCCAUAAAUUGAAGUGUAGGUUGGAAAGAAAAAUAGGAAGAAAAUUUGCAAGUUUUUUCUUGACGGUUGGCGCUUGCGUUCGAGUUCGAGCCUACAGCUGCCUGCCAUCAACCAGCCUGCGGCCAAAGCCGAAAUAUACCCCAUAUACUUUUUGACAUCUUCUAAGAUAACUCAGGCGGCUGCUGCAACAUUAAGCGCAACGCAAUCGAAAUCGAAAUCGAAUGUCAACACGAUAACAACACAAAAAAGAGCACACACUCAAAAAAAAAAAAAAAAAAA